AGUGAACGCUGGCGGUAGGCCCAACACAUGCAAGUCGAACGGCAGCACAGUAAGAGCUUGCUCUUACGGGUGGCGAGUGGCGGACGGGUGAGGAAUACAUCGGAAUCUACUUUUUCGUGGGGGAUAACGUAGGGAAACUUACGCUAAUACCGCAUACGACCUACGGGUUAAAGCAGUGGAUCUUCGGACCUUUCGCGAUUGAAUGAGCCGAUGUCGGAUUAGCUAGUUGGCGGGGUAAAGGCCCACCAAGGCGACGAUCCGUUGCUGGUCCGAGAGGAUGGUCAGGCAAAAUGGGAAUGGGGAAAGGGCCAGAACCCUAAGGGGGGGAGGAGGGGGGAAUAUUGGAGAAUGGGGGGAAGGCUGAUCGAGGCAAAGCGGGGGGGGGAAGAAGGCCUUCGGGUUGGAAAGCCCUUUUGAUGGGAAAGAAAAGAAGCAAGUUAAAACCACGCAGGUCUGAAGGGACCCAAAGAAUAAGCACCGGCUAAAUUAGUG
This 492-nucleotide ribosomal RNA is filed under the name uncultured bacterium. RNAcentral describes it as "partial 16S ribosomal RNA". It matches the Rfam family "Bacterial small subunit ribosomal RNA", at positions 30 to 507 of the family's 1533-position model. The record is from RNAcentral.